This 347-nucleotide ribosomal RNA is filed under the name uncultured eukaryote. RNAcentral describes it as "SSU rRNA". It matches the Rfam family "Eukaryotic small subunit ribosomal RNA", at positions 567 to 990 of the family's 1831-position model. The record is from RNAcentral.
CCAGCAGCUGCGGUAAUUCCAGCUCCAAUAGCGUAUAUUAAAGUUGUUGCAGUUAAAAAGCUCGUAGUUGGAUUUCAAGGGUCUCGCCGUGGAUACACGGUUGAAUCCUACCAGUCUUUGACUGUUACUGUGAGAAAAUUAGAGUGUUUCAAGCAGGCUAUUGCAGGAAUACAUUAGCAUGGAAUAACGAAUGUGUCUAGAAUCUUGGUUAAUUCUAGAAUACGAUUAAUAGGGACAGUUGGGGGCAUUAGUAUUUAAUUGUCAGAGGUGAAAUUCUUGGAUUUUUUAAAGACUAACGUAUGCGAAAGCAUUUGCCAAGGAUGUUUUCAUUAAUCAAGAACGAAAGU